UUUAUGGAUGUAAAUGUCUUU
RNAcentral lists this non-coding RNA (21 nucleotides) under Caenorhabditis elegans. The record is from RNAcentral. Lineage: Eukaryota; Metazoa; Nematoda; Chromadorea; Rhabditida; Rhabditidae.